UAAAAGUACAUACUGGCAAUUUAUUCUUUUCUUUGGAAACACCAAAAGAUGCAUUUUUUUUAAAUGUGUUUUAAUUAAACAGUCGCUGCUUUUAACGUAACGACACUCCCCGUCAGCCACUCUGAACGCAACUAACGUGAACUCGUAAACAUUUGUGUAGAAUUUCCUGAAAAUAAUUAAACAUGUGUUGGGGGCCGGUGAUCACGCUUGCGCAUUAGGGCUGCAUUGAGGUGUGUUUCUGUUGUUUGCGCAUGCGUUGCCGUCUUCUAGGAGAACGGUAAUUGCUGGUUUGCCGUUUACUAUUGUAAGCAGCAGUUGUGAAAAUGGCGCAUAGGAGUAAAAAGCUCUCUUCUUUGGUAGACCGAGAAAAAUACGUCUCUCGUAUGGUAGGUGUACUUCGUAAAUGCCACAUUGAGUACUAAUAGUGGAUUGAAACGUUCGGAAUAAACAAAAAAAUAUUUUUUAACCUACUCGAGAUUAUCGAAAGGCCGAGUUGGUAUCGAUUUAUUUGGUUUUGUAGUAGCAAAAGAAGGUGAUCCUGAUCACCUACGAUUACGAAUUUGUGUCAAUUUUUUAUAAGACAAUCCGCAAAAGUGUCAUCUUUUUAAUUUAUUGUGAUUUGUGUUGUAAGUUGUACGCAAUAACAUAAAAUGUGGGUUAACGCCAUAGGAACUACAUAUCUACGACGCCUGUUUUUGGUUUUGGCCUAUUUAUCGUUAGUUUUUUGACCUUAUGCAUGUGCAUAUGUCGAGUUACAAAAAAGACAGAAGUGAUAGAACAAAAAAAAUGAGGGAACGCAAACAGAAAAAGUUAUAUUCGGAAGACUGGGCUCUUGGAGACGAAGACAUCGAAGGACGUCGUCUGUUUUCCCUCCAAGAAAAAUUGGAAGAUCCGCGAUUUACUCAGCACAAUUUUGUCAAAGAAAUGCAUGGUAGCGAAUUAACAGUGGCAUAUUUUCAAAA
RNAcentral lists this unclassified non-coding RNA (962 nucleotides) under Agrilus planipennis (emerald ash borer). RNAcentral's name for it is "uncharacterized LOC112906813, transcript variant X2". The record is from RNAcentral. Lineage: Eukaryota; Metazoa; Arthropoda; Insecta; Coleoptera; Buprestidae.